CACGUAGGCACCAAGCGUUGUCCGGAUUUAUUGGGCGUAAAAAGCUCGUAGGCGGUUCGAUAAGUCGGGUGUGAAAACUUUGGGCUCAACCCAAAGCGUGCAUUCGAUACUGUUGUGACUAGAGUUCGGUAGGGGAGUGGGGAAUUCCUAGUGUAGCGGUAAAAUGCGCAGAUAUUAGGAGGAACACCGGUGGCGAAGGCGCCACUCUGGGCCGAAACUGACGCUGAGGAGCGAAAGCGUGGGUAGCAAACAGG
Molecule: ribosomal RNA, 254 nt
Filed under: uncultured bacterium
Lineage: Bacteria
Description: partial 16S ribosomal RNA
Rfam family: Bacterial small subunit ribosomal RNA
Source: RNAcentral